Molecule: long non-coding RNA, 444 nt
Organism: Mesocricetus auratus (golden hamster)
Lineage: Eukaryota; Metazoa; Chordata; Mammalia; Rodentia; Cricetidae
Exons: 2
Source: RefSeq, a predicted model, not a curated record
AAAAAAGUACAAAUUUUAUCUCAGCAAGUGACAGACUCCAUUUUGACCUAGGAGGAGCCGCCCCUCCUCUGCCGCCCACAGAGGUCUCAGCUGCACUUGACUUUCAUCUUGUUCUGCAAUUUACUAAUGAGGAAUGAAGCCGGGUCUGGGAAGACAGUGGGGCAGUCUCCAGCCUGCACAGCCAAGGCCUGGCCCAAAUGAUAAGCCAGGACCGGCACUUCUGAAACUGCUAAAACAAGCCUUUCCUCUAAGAGAUAUGUCACAGCAAUAGCGAGUUGACAGCACACAACCAAAGCAAGAGAAGAAGCAAACCCCGUCUCCAGACUCGAGUCUGCCCUUCCAGAGCAGACUUGUGUCAGGGUCCACAUGGACAUGGGGUCAUCAUCACAGUCCUUCUGUAAAGCAUGUGGUAGUUUGCACAAUAAAAUACACCUAUCAAAGGCA